UCAGAGUCCGUUCCGCGCGGGUCGGUAGUACGGUGGGUCCUAGCGUUAAUCGGAAUUACCAGGCUGAAAGCGUUCGCAUGGGGUUUGUUAAGCGAGAUGUGAAAGCCCUGGGCUCAACCUAGGAAUAGCAUUUCGAACUGGCGAACUAGAGUCUUGUAGAGGGGGGUAGAAUUCCAGGUGUAGCGGUGAAAUGCGUAGAGAUCUGGAGGAAUACCGGUGGCGAAGGCGGCCCCCUGGACAAAGACUGACGCUCAUGCACGAAAGCGUGGGGAGCAAACAGGAUUAGAUACCCCGGUAGUC
RNAcentral lists this ribosomal RNA (300 nucleotides) under uncultured Bacillus sp. Its description in RNAcentral is "bacterial SSU rRNA". It matches the Rfam family "Bacterial small subunit ribosomal RNA", at positions 496 to 795 of the family's 1533-position model. The record is from RNAcentral. Lineage: Bacteria; Bacillati; Bacillota; Bacilli; Caryophanales; Bacillaceae.